Molecule: ribosomal RNA, 525 nt
Filed under: Paenibacillus sp. MZ03122G2
Lineage: Bacteria; Bacillati; Bacillota; Bacilli; Caryophanales; Paenibacillaceae
Description: bacterial SSU rRNA
Rfam family: Bacterial small subunit ribosomal RNA
Source: RNAcentral
GAAGCAACGUGAAGAACCUUACCAGGUCUAGACAUCCCUCUGACCGGUCUAGAGAUAGGCCUUUCCUUCGGGACAGAGGAGACAGGUGGUGCAUGGUUGUCGUCAGCUCGGUCGUGAGAUGUUGGGUUAAGUCCCGCAACGAGCGCAACCCUUAUGCUUAGUUGCCAGCAGGUCAAGCUGGGCACUUUAAGCAGACUGCCGGUGACAAACCGGAGGAAGGUGGGGAUGACGUCAAAUCAUCAUGCCCCUUAUGACCUGGGCUACACACGUACUACAAUGGCCGGUACAACGGGAAGCGAAAUCGCGAGGUGGAGCCAAUCCUAGAAAAGCCGGUCUCAGUUCGGAUUGUAGGCUGCAACUCGCCUACAUGAAGUUGGAAUUGCUAGUAAUCGCGGAUCAGCAUGCCGCGGUGAAUACGUUCCCGGGUCUUGUACACACCGCCCGUCACACCACGAGAGUUUACAACACCCGAAGUCGGUGGGGUAACCCGCAAGGGAGCCAGCCGCCGAAGGUGGGGUAGAUGAU